Long non-coding RNA from Oncorhynchus keta (chum salmon), 3663 nucleotides. RefSeq lists it as uncharacterized. The transcript has 2 exons. The record is from RefSeq and is a predicted model, not a curated record. Lineage: Eukaryota; Metazoa; Chordata; Actinopteri; Salmoniformes; Salmonidae.
GGGCGUAUUCCUUACAGAAAAACACAGUUCCUACUGCAACUUUUUUGGGGAGGUCAUAGGACAAAAGCUUGAUAUAUUCUCCAAGCCAUGCUCUUCUCAUUUUUUUUUUCCUGUUUUAACGCUCUUUUUUUCAAAAUUUGUCUGUGAGCUCCGUCUCUUCUUCGCUUUCCCACGCUGGCUGAAUGUGCCUUGACCCCCUUCAGAGAAGUUUGACACAGAGCAGGAACAUUUCCGCAUUCCUCCCGACUACAAAGACUAACCGCCUCCUUUUGCCCUCCUUGGUUCUUUAUCAUUCAUAGUUCUCUCUCGGUUUUGUCUCAGUGUCAAAACCAGCAGCACCACGGGGGGAAAGCUGGGCAGCAAGAAAAGUGUAUUUGAUGGACCAGUCGAUCUAUCCGGCCAUUGAAAACUAUUCGUUGACAAUACAUCAGCGGGGAAGCAGGGUGACAAGCUCGCCUCUGGCCCAUAAGGUCAGGUUCAAGGACCAGUGGCUUGGGUUGUGUCAGGGGUGAUUCUCCCAAAGCGCUCCUUCGAGGGUGCUCUGUUUCACUGCUUCAUCCAAACGUGAGAUGCCAACUGCACACGUGAGAGAUAGUCCAUAGCUUUAAAUGAGGACCUGAGCCCUAGGACCAUGCCUCAUGACUACCUGACAUGAUGACACCUUGCUGUCCCCAGUCCACCUGGCCAUGCUGCUGCUCCAGUUUCAACUGUUCUGCCUUAUUAUUAUUGGACCAUGCUGGUCAUUUAUGAACAUUUGAACAUCUUGGCCAUGUUCUGUUAUAAUCUCCACCCGGCACAGCCAGAAGAGGACUGGCCACCCCACAUAGCCUGGUUCCUCUCUAGGUUUCUUCCUAGGUUUUGGCCUUUCUAGGGAGUUUUUCCUAGCCACUGUGCAACUACACCUGCAUUGCUUGCUGUUUGUGGUUUUAGGCUGGGUUUCUGUACAUCACUUUGAGAUAUCAGCUGAUGUACGAAGGGCUAUAUAAAUACAUUUGAUUUGAUUUGAUUAGGUAAAUGUGUUAUAACACAGAGGUAAAGGUGCUAUAACUCCUAAAUAAAGGUUCUAUAACUCAAAGAUAAAGGUUCUAUAACUCAGAUGUAAAGAUGUAAUAACACAGAGGUCAAUGUGUUAUAACAAAGAGGUAAAGGUGUUAUAACACAGAGGUUAAUGUUUUAUGACGCAGAGAUAAAUGUGUUAUAAGACAGAGUAAAAGGUUUUAGAAGACAGAGAUAAAUGUGUUAUAACAUAGAGGAAAAUGUGCUAUAACACAGAGGGAAAGGUGUUAUAACAGUGAUAAAGGUGUUACAACACAGAGGUACAUUUGUUAUAAUACAGAUAUAAAUGUGUUAUAACACAUAGGUAAAGGUGCUAUAACUCCUAAAUAAAGGGUCUAUAACUCAGAGAUAAAGGUUAUAUAACUCAGAUGUAAAGGUGCUAUAACACAGAGGUAAAGGUGCUAUAACUCCUAAAUAAAGGUUCUCUAACUCCUAAAUAAAGGUUCUCUAACUCAGAGAUAAAGGUUCUAUAACUCAGAGAUAAAGGUUCUAUAACUCAGAUGUAAAGGUGCUAUAACACAGAGGUAAAUGUGUUAUAACUCAGAGGUAAAGGUGCUAUAACUCCUAAAUAAAGGUUCUAUAACUCAAAGAUAAAGGUUCUAUAACUCAGAUGUAAAGGUGCUAUAACACAGAGAUAAAGGUGUUAUAACACAGAGGUAAAGGUGCUAUAACUCAUAAAUAAAGGUUCUAUAACUCAGAGAUAAAGGUUCUAUAACUCAGAGAUAAAGGUUCUAUAACUCAGAUGUAAAGGUGCUAUAACACAGAGGUAAAUGUGUUAUAACACAGAGGUAAAGGUGUUAUAACACAGAGGUAAAGGUGUUAUAACACAGAGAUAUAGAACAACAGUAAUGGUGGAACAUGAACCGAUAAACAAAGCCAGUGGUUUAUAUGCUCCUUGAGUUUAGUCCCCCUCAACUUCUCUGUUCUCUCCUCAGGAUGAAGAAGAAUAAAGCCUGUUUUGCAGCUUUACCGCCACCGUCAUCCCUUGUUGAAACGUUUAAAUACACCCACAUUACAGUUGAAACACAACACCAGUCGAAGCGAAUACCUUUGUACCAGUAUACCACAGAAUCUGUCAUGACAGUUUCAAGCGCAAUACGUGGAAUGUAGUUUGUUAACCAAACCCACCCUUUUGGGAAUUUACAAGUCUCUUGUUUUUCAGACGAGACCACUGUCAUUGCCCUGAAAGCCACCAUAUGACAAAGUUUGGCAAGAGAGUUUGACAGUUAUGAAUAAGACAUAUAAUUGGCAGCCUUUUAGCAGCCUGAAAGCUGUGGGGUUAAGACAGUUUGUCUCUUUAACCCAAGGCUUAGCAUGGAUAAAGUGAUAACAUAAGCCUGGCUGGAGAGAUAAAGUAGAACAGUAGACCUCUUGGUUGGACUUCCCAGUUGCUGAUGUUUUGAUCGUGGCUCCUGCACUCUGUUGAGGUAAACUAGACAUCUACUGUUGGCUCUCAGGUCAAUGACCUAUAAGCAUUGGUACUUUUCUGAUUGUCUAAUUCUAAAUGUACAGUGUAUAAAAUCUUUAGAUAUGCUGUACCUCAAAUUGGUUCAUUUCAAAAAGAGAGUAUGAGGAAUUUGAGAGGAUCCGGGCUGGGGAGAUUAGGACAGUCCCGUCUUUCUUAAUCCACAGAGAAGAUCACUGUUAUAAACCCUGCAUAAAAUCAGGAGACAAUGCUAGGUUGUUUUCUGUGUUGGCUUGAUUUUCCCUUUUUUUCAAGUCAAACUGAAGACCAGAGAGCAGCCAGCUAGUAAAGCCUUCCCUUCCCCAGCCCAGGCCCCUCAAAACAAGCCUCUUUCUGUUGGGAAUCUCCAUGGAAACCAAGCAACUAACUUGAGGAGGGAUAUAAAACCUGCUCUUUGAGGGACUGAAGGAACACCUGCCACCUCUACAGAUGGGGGUCAAAAUAGACUGACACACAGCCACCUCAUAAUGAACAGAGGGUUGUGUAACAUUUAAAUGAGUCCCCGUCCCGAACAUCUGCUCAUCGUCAAUUACUUAUUCACUGAUAACUCCUAUUUGAUCUGUUAAAACAGACCCAAUCUUUACUGGAAAUCACUUGAUGCAAUAGUGUAGUUAUUUAUGAGUAUUGGUUCAGAUUGCAGAUUGGUUAAAAUGACAGUAAUAACUGAUAUGGACUGUUCAUCAUUCUAAGCUUGAAGAUGUUAGGUGCGUAAUUGAUUAGGGAAUCUGCAUCACAUCUUGAAGUCCGAGAGCUCUGAAGGUUUUGCAAAUAAGAUAUUUGGUUGUGUGGCCGUUAGUUUGUACAUAACAUGGGUUCCAUUGAAAUCCAGCAACUGCAUGUUUCUGGUAGCGACACCACACUAUCCCCUGGCUGUUACUGUCAAAGCAAAGAGCUGCUGUUGGACAUACAUAGCCUGAACAACCUUAAUUAACACCUGCAGAAUAGCCCCGCGGUUGUUAUUUUACUGCUGCUCUUUCAUUGUUACUGUUUUUUUCUUUUUUAAACUGCAUUGUUAAGGGUUGUCAGUAAGCAUUUCACUGUGAGGUCUACACCUGUUGUAUUCGGUGUAUGUGACAAAUAACAUCUGAUUUGAGAACCACAACAUAAAUAAAAGAAAAGUACUGUUAACCACACCAACAUUA